ACCAAAAACCGAUGAGUUUUUGUUGAUCAAACUGAAUUUUAAAUACAGAACUUGUUCACACGACCGGACUGAAUCGGAUCCUAACUAGAACCGAUCCGAGUUUAAUGAACCUUUUCUCCUGAUACUAAUUGGAAUGAACGUUUGGCAUAAAUGAAUGAUUCCGCCGCUUUUACCCACUCUAGUCAACCUUUGACCCGUUCUAGUUAAACAUCUACUACAAGAAGAAUCUUCAAACUUGAACUGGGCCGUUUCACUCCAAUUAGAGAUUCUAUUGGACCCAGUUCGUUGUUUGAGGAACGUUUUUGUGGUAAAAACAGAACAAAGAGCGAUUUUAAGGCUUCUUUGGUCAGUAAAGCUCAUUACACGGAGUCCUGCUUAAAAACCAGAGGAACCAGAACUCAACCCUGGACAGGAUUACAGAAAACCAUUUCCCUCUUCAUCUCCAUCUAAAGCUCACAACAAGAACCCAAAUAAGAAGCAGGUACUGGUACUGGUGUCCUGUCAUCAUGCAGGUGGAAGCUCAGGGGAUGGGAGCAGGAGAGAAACAUCAGGAUCUGAGAUGAGGAAACAUCUUGACGUCUGAUGGGCGGAUGGAGAAGAAACCAAAGUCCACUUUUAAAAAUGAUUUUCUUCUCCUUUGGGUUCUGGUUGAUGUGAGGAAGAAUAGUUCUGGGUGGAGAUAGAGAGGAAGAUUCCAGAAGAAAAGUUUUAUCUGCCAUUAGUGUCGAAUAAUCCUGGUGAGGAUCCAUGAAAGGUGGUCGUAUCGGAACCGCAGUGAAACCCAAUACUGAACACUGGACUGUUUUAAUUUGCACUCAGCUGGAUUAUAUUCCAGACGGAGUGAAUUGGACCGGUACAUGUGGGUUUCUAUUUAAAUUAAUUAAAAUAGAAACUCUGACUUAGGUUCUGUCACACAACGCAGUCUGGGCCCGGCAGCAGAGAAGGUUCUGUCACACAACGCAGUCUGGGCCCGGCAGCAGAGAAGGUUCUGUCACACAACGCAGUCUGGGCCCGGCAGCAGAGAAGGUUCUGUCACUUCCAGAUUUAAACAAAGAUCGGACUGUGGUCCAGCUCGUCCUGCAGGGUUUAGCUCCUCAGCAUGACACCUGGUGCUGCAGAGGUCCAGAGACGGACCACUUAUUGGACCCGGGUUCAUGUAAAACAAGCUGCCGUUUGGACUGAUCUCUAAACUCAACUGUACUGAUUUGAGAUGGACCUCCAGUUAGUGGGUUUGAACCUGAGUCAACUGGACUUUAACCCGACCGGAUCGGACUGUGCUGAGGCUAAACGACUCUUCAGGAACUCGGGCUGCUUGUCAGCUUGAAUUUGAAUCCGUUUUUAAAGAAUGUUCUGGCUCAGUUGGACCGUAUCAAAUGCAUCAGUUUAUCUGACAGAUGUACUGAUCUGAGUUUUAAUUGGGUUCUGCUGGGCUUUCAGAAACUAAUUAUCUGAAUAAAAUUGAAUCUGAUCA
Long non-coding RNA from Girardinichthys multiradiatus, 1471 nucleotides. RefSeq lists it as uncharacterized. The record is from RefSeq and is a predicted model, not a curated record. Lineage: Eukaryota; Metazoa; Chordata; Actinopteri; Cyprinodontiformes; Goodeidae. The transcript is spliced from 2 exons.